This 765-nucleotide ribosomal RNA is filed under the name uncultured Tomentella. Its description in RNAcentral is "eukaryotic LSU rRNA". The stretch from base 229 to 383 matches the Rfam family "5.8S ribosomal RNA". The record is from RNAcentral. Lineage: Eukaryota; Fungi; Basidiomycota; Agaricomycetes; Thelephorales; Thelephoraceae.
CGUAGGUGACCUGCGGAGGAUCAUUACCGAAUUGUCAAACGGGUUGUUGCUGGUCUUCAAACGGGGACAUGCUGCACGCAUCUGUUUACACAUCCACUCACACCUGUUGCACCCUCCGUAGUUCUAUGGUCUGGGGGACCCUGUCUUCCUGCCGUGGUUCUACGUCUUUACACACACUCUGUAAUAAAGUCUUAUGGAAUGUAUGCCGCGUCUAACGCAAUACAAUACAACUUUCAGCAACGGAUCUCUUGGCUCUCGCAUCGAUGAAGAACGCAGCGAAAUGCGAUAAGUAAUGUGAAUUGCAGAAUUCAGUGAAUCAUCGAAUCUUUGAACGCACCUUGCGCCCCUUGGCUAUUCCGAGGGGCAUGCCUGUUUGAGUAUCAUGAACACCUCAACUCUCAUGGUUCGCCAUGAUGAGCUUGGACUCUGGGGGUUUUGCUGGCCUGCGGUCGGCUCCCCUCAAAUGAAUCAGCCUCCCAGUGUUUGGUGGCAUCACGGGUGUGAUAAAUAUCUACGCUCGCGGUUGUCUGCCAGGUAACCUUUGGUGACAAAGGUUUGCUGGAGCUCACAGAUGUCUCUCCUCGGCGAGGACAGCUUUUUUGAACGUUCGAUCUCAAAUCAGGUAGGACUACCCGCUGAACUUAAGCAUAUCAAUAAGCGGAGGAAAAGAAACUAACAAGGAUUCCCCUAGUAACUGCGAGUGAAGCGGGAAGAGCUCAAAUUUAAAAUCUGGCGUGCCUCUGGUCGUCCGAGUGUGUCWGANAG